RNAcentral lists this ribosomal RNA (568 nucleotides) under uncultured bacterium. Its description in RNAcentral is "bacterial SSU rRNA". It matches the Rfam family "Bacterial small subunit ribosomal RNA", at positions 119 to 674 of the family's 1533-position model. The record is from RNAcentral.
AGGCAACCUGCCCUCAAGCUUGGGACAACUACCGGAAACGGUAGCUAAUACCGAAUACUUGCUUCCUUCGCCUGAAGGGAGCUGGAAAGACGGAGCAAUCUGUCACUUGAGGAUGGGCCUGCGGCGCAUUAGCUAGUUGGUGAGGUAACGGCUCACCAAGGCGACGAUGCGUAGCCGACCUGAGAGGGUGAUCGGCCACACUGGGACUGAGACACGGCCCAGACUCCUACGGGAGGCAGCAGUAGGGAAUCUUCCGCAAUGGGCGAAAGCCUGACGGAGCAAUGCCGCGUGAGUGAUGAAGGUUUUCGGAUCGUAAAGCUCUGUUGCCAGGGAAGAACGUCCUUGAGAGUAACUGCUCAAGGAGUGACGGUACCUGAGAAGAAAGCCCCGGCUAACUACGUGCCAGCAGCCGCGGUAAUACGUAGGGGGCAAGCGUUGUCCGGAAUUAUUGGGCGUAAAGCGCGCGCAGGCGGUCAUUUAAGUCUGGUGUUUAAUCCCGGGGCUCAACCCCGGAUCGCACUGGAAACUGGGUGACUUGAGUGCAGAAGAGGAGAGUGGAAUUCCACGU